This is a non-coding RNA of Aspergillus taichungensis, 95 nucleotides long. The record is from the annotation of a GenBank genome assembly. Lineage: Eukaryota; Fungi; Ascomycota; Eurotiomycetes; Eurotiales; Aspergillaceae.
GGCAAGGUGGCCGAGCGGUUAAGGCGCUAGUUUUAGGUUGUUACGAUCUGAUCACUAGUUUCUCUGAUUCAUGGGUUCGAAUCCCAUCCUUGUCA